GCGAGUGAAGAGGGAUCAGCCCAAAAUUGUAAUCUGGCUCUUUCAGAGUCYGAGUUGUAAUUUCAAGAACUGUUUUCUGCUCUGGACCAUGUACAAGUCUGUUGAAAUGCAGCAUCAUUGAGGGUGAGAAUCCUGUUCAUGAUAUGGACUACCAGGGCUUUAUGAUACAGUUUCUAAGAGUCGAGUUGUUUGGGAAUGCAGCUCAAAGUGGGUGGUAAAUUCCAUCUAAGGCUAAAUAUUGGUGAGAGACCGAUAGCAAACAAGUACCGUGAGGGAAAGAUGAAAAGAACUUUGGAAAGAGAGUUAACAGUACGUGAAAUUGUUAAAAGGGAAACAGUUGAAGUUAGACUUGUUGUUGUUGGUUCAGCUCUUUAAGGGUGUUUUCUGAUAAUUAACAAACCAACAUCAAUCUUUGGGUGUUGGAUAAGGGUCAUUGAAAUGUAGCAGUUUUGGCUGUGUUAUAGUCUUUGACUUGGAUACAAUGCCUGGGAUUGAGGAUUGCAGUAAGCCCCUAUGGGGUGGAACAAUUUAUUGUUCUUCUUACUGAGGAUGUUGGUGCAAUAGCUUUAAUUGACCCGUCUUGAAACACGGACCAAGGAGUCUAACAUGCUUGCGAGUAUUUGGGUGUUGAAACCCUCAUGCGUAAUGAAAGUAAAUGUA
Molecule: ribosomal RNA, 660 nt
Filed under: Gymnosporangium amelanchieris
Lineage: Eukaryota; Fungi; Basidiomycota; Pucciniomycetes; Pucciniales; Gymnosporangiaceae
Description: LSU rRNA
Rfam family: Eukaryotic large subunit ribosomal RNA
Source: RNAcentral